AUGGGAGUCCUCAAGGUUCCAAGCCUGCUAUUUCUCAUGCUACUCCUCUUGGCUCCUGCCUCUGAUGCCGAGACUUGCAAGGAGGCCAGCGAGAGCUAUACCACUAUAAAGUGCCGUGAUGAUGCAUGUGCUAAGGCCUGCCAGCUGGAGGGGUUUAUUGAUGGGACGUGUGAGAUGGCUACUUUUCAAAAACUUGUGAAAGAACCUGCAGCGCUCUGUGUCCAUGCCGUGCCUGUUGAUACUUUAUUUGUUGCUUGUUCGCUUUAUGUUUACGGUCUGGCUAGGUCUCAGUCGACUGGGACUUAG
This 306-nucleotide ribosomal RNA is filed under the name Triticum aestivum (bread wheat). RNAcentral's name for it is "partial small subunit ribosomal RNA". Lineage: Eukaryota; Viridiplantae; Streptophyta; Magnoliopsida; Poales; Poaceae. The record is from RNAcentral.